This 45-nucleotide non-coding RNA is filed under the name Trichobilharzia regenti. The record is from RNAcentral. Lineage: Eukaryota; Metazoa; Platyhelminthes; Trematoda; Strigeidida; Schistosomatidae.
GUCCGUCUGACGAGUUCCAAAUAGGACGAAAUGCGCAUCAUGAAU